Molecule: ribosomal RNA, 253 nt
Filed under: uncultured bacterium
Lineage: Bacteria
Description: partial 16S ribosomal RNA
Rfam family: Bacterial small subunit ribosomal RNA
Source: RNAcentral
UACGUAGGUGGCAAGCGUUGUCCGGAAUUAUUGGGCGUAAAGCGCACGUAGGCGGAUCUUUAAGUCAGAGGUGAAAUCCCAAGGCUCAACCUUGGAACUGCCUUUGAUACUGGGGAUCUUGAGUCCGGGAGAGGUGAGUGGAACUGCGAGUGUAGAGGUGAAAUUCGUAGAUAUUCGCAAGAACACCAGUGGCGAAGGCGGCUCACUGGCCCGGUACUGACGCUGAGGUGCGAAAGCGUGGGGAGCAAACAGG